RNAcentral lists this ribosomal RNA (253 nucleotides) under uncultured bacterium. Its description in RNAcentral is "partial 16S ribosomal RNA". It matches the Rfam family "Bacterial small subunit ribosomal RNA", at positions 524 to 776 of the family's 1533-position model. The record is from RNAcentral.
UACGGAGGGGACUAGCGUUGUUCGGAAUUACUGGGCGUAAAGCGCACGUAGGCGGAUUUGUAAGUCAGGGGUGAAAUCCCGGGGCUCAACCCCGGAACUGCCUUUGAUACUGCAAAUCUCGAGUCCGGAAGAGGUGAGUGGAAUUCCUAGUGUAGAGGUGAAAUUCGUAGAUAUUAGGAAGAACACCAGUGGCGAAGGCGGCUCACUGGUCCGGUACUGACGCUGAGGCACGAAGGCCAGGGGAGCAAACGGG